Brassica rapa (field mustard) is the source of this 1640-nucleotide long non-coding RNA. RefSeq lists it as uncharacterized. NCBI's taxonomy places the organism in Eukaryota, Viridiplantae, Streptophyta, Magnoliopsida, Brassicales, Brassicaceae. The record is from RefSeq and is a predicted model, not a curated record.
GAUGCUAAUGACAUAUCUUAGCAUUAAUCGUAUUUAAUUUAAAUAUAAAUUAGCCAAUAUCACAAGCUUAACUAAGAAGUCUUUUAUCUCGUCCUUAGGAGAUAUGUGGCGUCGUGGGAAUGGCGGAUGAAAAUUCGUAAGGGCAAAAUCGAUUUUGGAUCGAGUUUCACUUUCCUCAUCUCUUCUGUUCUCUCUCACGGCGAUUGAAAAGGGGAUUUUGUCUCAACGACGCAUCUCCUCUCUGACGGUUCUCCUCCCGGCGGAUCUCCUCCCGAGACAUCUCCUCCCGACUCUGAAUCUCUCGACGGUUCUCUCGACGGAUCUGUUGACGGUUCUGUCGACGGUUCUCCUCUCUCAUCAACAUCGUAUUCCGUGAUUCGAAGGUGAAAGGGUGAGGUGAGGUUCAACUACAAUAACCCGGUUUCUAUUAGUAAACAGCUCUAAGAGAAACAACCAUUUCGUCCACAGCUCAAGAUUUCGGUUUCUAUUCUCUUAUCACUUCUCUCUUCUUAAUCCUAUGGAUCCAAGGAUUCCGUACAGCCAGUCUGCUGGUUAUAUUGGCCUUCUUCACAGUCAACACGAAAGUGUUCAUCAUGAGAAGCAUUCAUUAUUUGCUAAAACCCAAAAAUCUGUGCGAAAAGAUGUGGAGCGUGCCUUUGGAGUGCUGCAAGCUAGAUUUGCGUUUGUCAGAAAUCCCUCGAAUUUAUGGGAUAAGGACAAAAUUGGAAAUAUUAUGAGAGCAUGUAUCGUCCUCCAUAAUAUGAUUGUCGAGGAUGAACGAUCAUCAUCCACUCAGUAUACGGUCGAUGAAUUUCAAGAAAGAGAAGAGGUGGAUACAUUUCCAUCAAUAUGGCUUCAAAUCUCGGCAAUUCGAUUGAUCGUCGAACAAGCGUUCGGAAUAGACAAGCCCAUCAGAAUUUAAAAAACGAUUUGAUUGAAAAUAUAUGAGCUAAAUUUGGACAUCUUCCAAAUAACAUAUAAUUUAUAAGUUUAUAUAAAUUGAAUAAAAUGUUUGUUUCCUUUUAUUUAUUAUUUGUUAUUUUUUUAACUUUGUAAUUUUCAUAUGUUUUCAAUUUUAAUGUUAAACUUCUCUUUUAUAUGUUUUAUUAAAAAGUUAUCCUUUAUAUCUCAUUACACAUUAAAAUAAAUAUUUUAUUUACUAAGAUACAAGACAAGUUUUACCAAUAAUCUACAAAAUUACAAAUGUCCUUAAACUUUGUUCCUAACUUAAAAAUAUUAAUAAAAUAUCAUAAGGACUUGUUUUUUGUCCCACCAAUAAUGUUGCCCUUCGAGCGCACACUAUUAAUUGGACGCGUGGCAGGUGAUUAACCCACCGAUUCGCUCGCUUCUUCUUUCUGUUUAUAAUACUAGGGGCUGUACGCGUGGAUUAUGUCUAUAUGAGUUUCCAGUUUCCACCACAUUGGUAAGAGAAGAAUUAAGGAUGGGUAUUCUCAUAUCCAUUAGAAUUUGGUUUGGAUCUAUUCGAGUUUUUAAUUUUUGAAACUAAAGAUUUCAAUUUUAUUCAUGCAUUUGCGGGUUGUGUUCAGAUACCAUUUAGCCUUUGAUUUUUUUUAAAAAAAAAUUAGGGUUGCUAAAGUGACUGCUUGUCUCCUAUUGAAUCGAAUUUGAUCUUCUUUGAA